CCCCCGCGCAAGGCCCGCCCAGUCUCCACCUCCGCCGAGAUAACUCCCAGAAGCCUCUGCGAGACGCCAGGGCCUCGAAAUAGAACAAAACCGGCAGGUGGGGGAGGGGGGAAACGAGGGUUUCGGAGGGCAGAAGCAACGUACAACUCCUGGCGAAUGCCUAAGGCUCGGGCGGGCCUCCCGCUGACCCCUUCCCGCCCCUCAACUGCUAGGCGCGGAGACCAUGGCCCUUUCUCCGCGCCUCUUGUGAAGCUGAGAAAGGUUCCCGCCAGCUUCCUCGCCGGUUUCUGCUAAAAGGUCCGCAGACCGUAGCCCGGCGUCCCCCUCCUCCUCAUACCCUUCCCUCAACUCGCGCAAACCUCUGGCUCAGGAACCGCAGCAGCUUCGCUGUCCAAGGCAGACGCAGAAACACCGCUUACAAGCCGUUUCCCAGAAGCCCCCGGAAUGGACUCCUUCCGGUCUGCAGGCCCGAGGAGGCGGAGAGAGGCAAAGCCCCGCGUUGCCAUGGAGAUGCACUCCAGGAUUGUGGACUUUAUUCUUCAAAAUAUAGGAGACAAGAACCCAGAGGAAAUUGGCCAAGUGGGAAACAGUCUCAUCUCAAAACUCCAGUUUAAGGUCGCAGUGAAUUUGCAGAAUGCGUGAGCAUCUGACUUCAGCCUGGGUAUUUUGUGCCAAAAAACAAUUGUAGACAUAAUCAUUUAAAAAUGUAAGUCAGAACACUUCAUUUCCCUUUAAAGCCCUCCAAUGGAUCUCAGCUACCUUAAAUAUAACAUAAAAACUCCUAACAUUGA
Molecule: long non-coding RNA, 791 nt
Organism: Marmota monax (woodchuck)
Lineage: Eukaryota; Metazoa; Chordata; Mammalia; Rodentia; Sciuridae
Exons: 2
Source: RefSeq, a predicted model, not a curated record